This 382-nucleotide long non-coding RNA is filed under the name Elaeis guineensis (African oil palm). RNAcentral's name for it is "long non-coding RNA (EGUI_LNC056069)". Lineage: Eukaryota; Viridiplantae; Streptophyta; Magnoliopsida; Arecales; Arecaceae. The record is from RNAcentral.
GCAGAGGGCUGCCCAGGGUCAGGCGGAGUUUGCUGCGAAGAGUAGUGGAGUAGACCCGUGGCUAUCACUGGGGCGUGCCACGUGGAGUCUACCGCGGGGAGUAGAGCGGCGUCUGUUGUCGUGACUUGCCAGCGGAUGGGAGAAUCGUGCGGUAUCCAUCGCAGGAAGUGGAGCAGGAUCGUGGCCGUUAUUGUGGCCUGCCAGGGAGUAGUGGAGCUGCAAGGGAUCCAUCGUAGGGAGUGGAGCAGUGCUGUGACCGUUACUGCGGCCUGUCAGGGAGUGAUGGAGCUGCACGGAAUCCACCGCAGAAAGUGGAGCAGGAUCGUGGCCGUUAUUGUGGCCUGGAAGUGCAGAUCCAUCGACUGAAGUUCGGCAGUGGUCG